GAUGAAGAACGCAGCGAAAUGCGAUAAGUAAUGUGAAUUGCAGAAUUCAGUGAAUCAUCGAAUCUUUGAACGCACAUUGCGCCCCUUGGUAUUCCGAGGGGCAUGCCUGUUCGAGCGUCAUUAUAACCCCUCAAGCUCAGCUUGGUGUUGGGGCCUGCCGCACGGGCAGCCCUUAAAAUCAGUGGCGGUGCCAUCUGGCUCUAAGCGUAGUAAUUCUUCUCGCUAUAGAGUUCCGGUGGAUGCUUGCCAUUAACCCCCAAUUUUCUAUGGUUGACCUCGGAUCAGGUAGGGAUACCCGCUGAACUUAAGCAUAUUCAAUAAGCGGAGGA
Molecule: unclassified non-coding RNA, 329 nt
Filed under: soil metagenome
Description: partial contains 5.8S ribosomal RNA, internal transcribed spacer 2, and large subunit ribosomal RNA
Rfam family: 5.8S ribosomal RNA (bases 1-120)
Source: RNAcentral